RNAcentral lists this ribosomal RNA (292 nucleotides) under uncultured bacterium. RNAcentral's name for it is "partial 16S ribosomal RNA". It matches the Rfam family "Bacterial small subunit ribosomal RNA", at positions 505 to 796 of the family's 1533-position model. The record is from RNAcentral.
GUGUCAGCAGCCGCGGUAAUACGGAGGGUGCAAGCGUUAUCCGGAAUCAUUGGGUUUAAAGGGUCCGUAGGCGGAUUAAUAAGUCAGAGGUGAAAUCCCACAGCUUAACUGUGGAACUGCCUUUGAUACUGUUAGUCUUGAGUUAUAUGGAAGUAGAUAGAAUGUGUAGUGUAGCGGUGAAAUGCAUAGAUAUUACACAGAAUACCGAUUGCGAAGGCAGUCUACUACGUAUAUACUGACGCUAAUGGACGAAAGCGUGGGGAGCGAACAGGAUUAGAAACCCCUGUAGUCC